AUUGAACGCUGGCGGCAUGCUUUACACAUGCAAGUCGAACGGCAGCGCGGGCUUCGGCCUGGCGGCGAGUGGCGAACGGGUGAGUAAUACAUCGGAACGUGCCCAGUAGUGGGGGAUAGCUCGGCGAAAGCCGGAUUAAUACCGCAUACGACCUGAGGGGGAAAGCGGGGGAUCUUCGGACCUCGCGCUAUUGGAGCGGCCGAUGGCAGAUUAGCUAGUUGGUGGGGUAAAGGCCUACCAAGGCGACGAUCUGUAGCUGGUCUUAGAGGACGACCAGCCACACUGGGACUGAGACACGGCCCAGACUCCUACGGGAGGCAGCAGUGGGGAAUUUUGGACAAUGGGCGAAAGCCUGAUCCAGCAAUGCCGCGUGUGUGAUGAAGGCCUUCGGGUUGUAAAGCACUUUUGGCGGGAACGAAAAGGACUGUGCCAAUACCACGGUUCGAUGACGGUACCCGCAGAAUAAGCACCGGCUAACUACGUG
This 484-nucleotide ribosomal RNA is filed under the name uncultured bacterium. RNAcentral's name for it is "partial 16S ribosomal RNA". It matches the Rfam family "Bacterial small subunit ribosomal RNA", at positions 29 to 507 of the family's 1533-position model. The record is from RNAcentral.